UUGAAUUAGCGAUAAUUUGAUGAAUCAUGAGAAGUCAGCAGAGGUCAUAGUAGUUCUUAGAAUGAAGGG
Molecule: non-coding RNA, 69 nt
Filed under: uncultured Rummeliibacillus sp.
Lineage: Bacteria; Bacillati; Bacillota; Bacilli; Caryophanales; Caryophanaceae
Source: RNAcentral